AUUGAACGCUGGCGGCAUGCUUUACACAUGCAAGUCGAACGGUAACAGGCCUUCGGGUGCUGACGAGUGGCGAACGGGUGAGUAAUGCAUCGGAACGUACCCAGAGGUGGGGGAUAACGCAGCGAAAGCUGUGCUAAUACCGCAUGUGAUCUGAGGAUGAAAGCGGGGGACCGAGCAGCAAUGUUUGGCCUCGCGCCUUUGGAGCGGCCGAUGUCGGAUUAGCUAGUUGGUGGGGUAAAGGCCUACCAAGGCGACGAUCCGUAGCUGGUCUGAGAGGACGACCAGCCACACUGGGACUGAGACACGGCCCAGACUCCUACGGGAGGCAGCAGUGGGGGAUUUUGGACAAUGGGCGCAAGCCUGAUCCAGCAAUGCCGCGUGCGGGAAGAAGGCCUUCGGGUUGUAAACCGCUUUUGGCAGGAACGAAACGGUGUCCGCUAAUACCGGGCGCUAAUGACGGUACCUGCAGAAUAAGCACCGGCUAACUACGUG
RNAcentral lists this ribosomal RNA (492 nucleotides) under uncultured bacterium. Its description in RNAcentral is "partial 16S ribosomal RNA". It matches the Rfam family "Bacterial small subunit ribosomal RNA", at positions 29 to 507 of the family's 1533-position model. The record is from RNAcentral.